Molecule: long non-coding RNA, 581 nt
Filed under: Brassica napus (rape)
Lineage: Eukaryota; Viridiplantae; Streptophyta; Magnoliopsida; Brassicales; Brassicaceae
Description: long non-coding RNA (BNAP_LNC025869)
Source: RNAcentral
CACCUUCACUCAGGAGGACUUUCUCCGCUGACUUGUCCUCCAAGAACUGGCUCACGCAGAACGGGACUCCUUCUAUGAAGAGGAUCUCUUCCUCUGAGAAGCUCCAUAACUUUGGUGCUGACUCAUUGAACUCCCAAGACGAAGAACAAGGAUCAAGAUCUGGGGUUGAUAUAUGGGCUCAGAUUCAAGAAGACAAGAACAAGAAGAAGGAGGAGAUCGAGCCGAGCCAAUAGGAGGACUUUCUCCGCUGACUUGUCCUCCAAGAACUGGCUCACGCAGAACGGGACUCCUUCUAUGAAGAGGAUCUCUUCCUCUGAGAAGCUCCAUAACUUUGGUGCUGACUCAUUGAACUCCCAAGACGAAGAACACGGAUCAAGAUCUGGGGUUGAUAUAUGGACUCAGAUUCAAGAAGACAAGAACAAGAAGGAGCAUGAGACCGAGCCGAGCCAAACCGAUGUAUGGAGUUCGAUUUUAUCCGACAAGAAGAAGAAGACGGACACGGAGACGGUUCCUCCACCGUACGUUCAUCCUCUGGUGAAACGAGCCAGCUCCUUGAGCGAGAAAAGCCUAGAGAUUUGCAC